This 425-nucleotide ribosomal RNA is filed under the name uncultured bacterium. RNAcentral describes it as "bacterial SSU rRNA". It matches the Rfam family "Bacterial small subunit ribosomal RNA", at positions 354 to 796 of the family's 1533-position model. The record is from RNAcentral.
GUAGGGAAUCUUGCGCAAUGGGCGAAAGCCUGACGCAGCCAUGCCGCGUGGAUGAUGAAGGUCUUAGGAUUGUAAAAUCCUUUCAGCGGGGACGAUAAUGACGGUACCCGCAGAAGAAGCCCCGGCUAACUUCGUGCCAGCAGCCGCGGUAAUACGAAGGGGGCUAGCGUUGCUCGGAUUUACUGGGCGUAAAGGGCGCGUAGGCGGACAGUUUAGUCAGAGGUGAAAGCCCAGGGCUCAACCUUGGAAUUGCCUUUGAUACUGGCUGUCUUGAGUACGGGAGAGGUGAGUGGAACUCCGAGUGUAGAGGUGAAAUUCGUAGAUAUUCGGAAGAACACCAGUGGCGAAGGCGACUCACUGGCCCGUUACUGACGCUGAGGCGCGAAAGCGUGGGGAGCAAACAGGAUUAGAUACCCGAGUAGUCC